RNAcentral lists this non-coding RNA (117 nucleotides) under Gorilla gorilla gorilla (western lowland gorilla). The record is from Rfam by way of RNAcentral. Lineage: Eukaryota; Metazoa; Chordata; Mammalia; Primates; Hominidae.
GCCAGGCGCGGUGGCUCACGCCUGUAAUCCCAACACUUUGGGAGGCCGAGGUGGGUGGAUCACCUGAGGUCAGGAGUUCAAGACCAGCCUGGCCAAUAUGGUGAAAACCCAUCUCUA